GAUGUUUGUUUCUGGGAAUAAUUGCGAAAAACAGCGCAUGCGCACUGCUGGCCCUGCCCCCAAAGCUGCGAGUUGCAGACUGGAAGAGCGCAUGCGUGACGCCCUCUCCAAGCGCUGCCGUUGAGGAGCAUUUACUCAGUGAGUGGAAGAGGUUUGUUUGAAACAGACCGCAAUGGAGAGACCAGCGCCCAGGGAAGCGAGGGAACAGCAGACUCCUUCCAGCAGCACAUCGAGAUGUGAGCCUGGGACACAGAGGGGGCCUCCGAGACCGACGUUGAUUCGGGCUCAGUUCAGGGAGAACCGGGGUCUGUUUGUAAGAGGUCGAGCGGAGCAGGAACUGGUCCCGGAACUUGGAGCAAUUAUUUAAUGGACCAAGACAAUGUAAUCUUUCCUCAGUACAAAGGCAAAUGUGACCAGCUGCUUCUACCAACCAGGAGGUAUGUUACCUCUGUCAGAGCUGAGAACAUUCUUUCCACAGUCACAGAGUAGAUUGAGCCACUCCAGCUCCAAAAAGUUCCAUCAUUCAUAGCCAACUAUCAUUCACAACAUUUGAAGAGGGAUAGAUCAUGUCCUCAUCUGAAAUAUGCAUCCAAGAACUGCAUUAAAUUCACAUGUAGUAAAGGCAUUUUUAAAGUGAAAA
Rhincodon typus (whale shark) is the source of this 640-nucleotide long non-coding RNA. RefSeq lists it as uncharacterized. Lineage: Eukaryota; Metazoa; Chordata; Chondrichthyes; Orectolobiformes; Rhincodontidae. The transcript is spliced from 2 exons. The record is from RefSeq and is a predicted model, not a curated record.